GAGCAGCACUCAAAAUGUGUGCAUUGGACUCUGCAGAAUGAUGAGCAAUGAAAAUCAAACCUACACUUUCUACAAAAUAUAACUGCCAGUCAUUUCUCAGAUCUUUGAAUUAGCUGCUGGUCAGCUUGUCAUGGGGAUGUUUCUGCCUACUCAGCUGGAGUAACUCAAGAGUGUGUGGUGAGCUAGGCGCUGAAUCAUCUUGGUUGGGAUUUGCUAUGGAUGUUUUUGCUCCAUUUACUCCACAAUGGAAAGGCACUAAUGUUUUAAAUGGCCAGUCAUCUAUAUGCAAGAAAGUGUCACGAGUAGACCAGCAAUGCAACAUGCUACACCCACUGACUACCACCCUAAUCUUCUCAAGUGUGUCUUUGAAAAUCCAGCAAAUGCACAAAUGGAGCACAUCCAACCUGAGAUGAAGAGUCUGAGCCUUUCCACAGAAGUUGUGUGAGGUGCUAAAGUUUUGUGGCCACUAUUUGUACUCUGUACAUGAUUCCAUCUCCAAAUUUAACAUUCUCUUGGUGAUAGGAAGAGAGUUUUCUUGUUAUACCAACAGUCUAUACUUCUACGUCAUUAUGAAAAACGGAGAGAUUAGAAACAAAGAUAACAUGGCUGGCCAUGUGCUGUCUUAGGGUUUCUAUUUCUGUGAAGAGACACCAUGACCACAGCAACUCUUACAAAGGAAAACAUUUAACUGGGGCUGGCUUACAGAAGUUUCAGAAGUUUAGUCCAUUAUCUUCACGGCAGUGUGCAGACAGACAUGGUGCUGGAGAAGGAACUGAGAGUUCUACAUCCUGACACACUUCCUCCAACAAAAAUCACACCUCCUAAUAGUGCCUCUCCCUAUGGGGGCCAUAUUCUUUCAAACCACCACACAUGCUAUACAUGCAAACUUGGUCCAAAGCCCAAGUUCUACCCUGGAUGUGUCUGUUCAACCAGAAGACAAUGUAUACUUAGAUAUCUUCCUAGGAACCACCCUCACCUCAUAGGAAACCCUGUCUCUUCUUGGUCUGUGUCAGUGGAAGUCCUCCAUGAUGACACAGGAGUGGGUGCUGACAAAUGGCAUACCCUGUGCUAGACACCCCUUCUUUUCUGUUCAUUUCAAACUUAGGAAGUAAAAUAUUGUGAAAUC
Peromyscus eremicus (cactus mouse) is the source of this 1126-nucleotide long non-coding RNA. RefSeq lists it as uncharacterized. The record is from RefSeq and is a predicted model, not a curated record. Lineage: Eukaryota; Metazoa; Chordata; Mammalia; Rodentia; Cricetidae. The transcript is spliced from 3 exons.